RNAcentral lists this ribosomal RNA (395 nucleotides) under uncultured bacterium. RNAcentral's name for it is "partial 16S ribosomal RNA". It matches the Rfam family "Bacterial small subunit ribosomal RNA", at positions 523 to 918 of the family's 1533-position model. The record is from RNAcentral.
AUACGUAGGGAGCGAGCGUUGUCCGGAAUUACUGGGCGUAAAGGGUGCGUAGGCGGCAUAUCAAGUCAGGAGUGAAAUACCCGGGCUCAACCCGGGGGCUGCUUCUGAAACUGAUGAGCUUGAGUUCGGGGGAGGAAAGUGGAAUUCCUAGUGUAGCGGUGGAAUGCGUAGAUAUUAGGAGGAACACCAGUGGCGAAGGCGACUUUCUGGACCGAUACUGACGCUGAGGCACGAAAGCGUGGGGAGCAAACAGGAUUAGAUACCCUGGUAGUCCACGCUGUAAACGAUGGAUACUAGGUGUGGGGUUCGAGUGAAUUCCGUGCCGGAGCAAACGCAAUAAGUAUCCCGCCUGGGGAGUACGGCCGCAAGGCUGAAACUCAAAGGAAUUGACGGGG